Gorilla gorilla gorilla (western lowland gorilla) is the source of this 1590-nucleotide long non-coding RNA. RefSeq lists it as uncharacterized. The record is from RefSeq and is a predicted model, not a curated record. Lineage: Eukaryota; Metazoa; Chordata; Mammalia; Primates; Hominidae. The transcript is spliced from 4 exons.
UUAUCUCCAAACCAACCCAAUGGGGUAGAACCCACAUUGACACUCUCAUGGCAACAGGCUCAAGGCUAUUGGGAAAUCUUCUGACUUGUGUCAAAUCUAACAUUUGUCUUUCAUUUAGUUGAGACCAAUCUACAUAAGUCCAGGUUAAAGGGAAGCUUCUUCCCGCCCUCCAGAAGACACAGGCAGUGGCUCAGGUGACCUGCCAGCAUGGAACCUGUCUCUCUCAACAAGAUUGAAAACAUCAAACCAAACCUGAAGCACUGAGAGGUUGGGUAACCAGCUCUGGUCACUGAGAUGGUGAGGGAUGGAUUCAGAAGAGGUCUCCAGUUGUGACACCGCAGAGGACCUGCUCUUGGCCACCACACUCUACCAGCUCUGCAAGAAGCGCUUCCACACUUAUCAUCUCAGAGCGACAGAGCCUAUGUGUGUGGCUGAGGUGCUCAGACUGGCAGGUGAAAUGACUUCAUUAGUGCCCUGGCUCCUGGUGUUGUGAGAGUGGAAACCCAGCCUUCUGAGUUGAAGAACUGGAACAAACAUCAGCCCUGACACACUGAUCUCAGUUUACCUUUGUGAGAAACAGGAACGAAAUGUGAACAUCUAUUUCAGGUGAUGUCAUAAAGCCCGACUCAGAAGAUGGCUAUGAUUUCAACAGCCUGUCGGCAGCACGGAUUUCAGAGUAACUUACAAUCAAUAAUUAAUCUAAACAACAGUGCCGUGUGCACCCCAUUAUUAAAACAGAAGGGGAAACAAAAGGAGACUGAGAGGAUUGCUUUUGAAGGCUCAUGUUGCAGCGGCUUCUGCUGGAUACUAAAAAGCAAAUUAUUGUCAGGGGUUGUUUGUCAUUCACAGGAGGAAUUGGAUUCCUUUAUGUUUAUAAAGUCACCUUGGUAUCUGGAAGGAGAGCAGAAACUUAACAGAGCCUACUUUACUUACGAAUGUAGGAUGCUAAUUUAUUUGCCUUUUUCUUAUAUUAAUAUGCUUAUCUGUAAAAAGGGGGAAGAAAAUAGGGCUGUUUUGAGGAGAUGUGGCUGAGAAAACGGAAAAAGAGAAUUACAGGCCUGAAAUCCCAGCACUCUGGGAGGCUGAGGCCCCUGGCGCUGGUUCUCUCUGGAGGUUGAGUUUCCGUGGGGAGAGAAGAGUGCCCAGCGUGACCACCGUUGGCUGACUUCCCAUGCAUUAUUCCUUGUUUCCCCCGCUGGGGCCCAGCCCACCAGCCCCGCAGUGCAUGAAGCCACUUAUCACCACGGUUCCCAGAGAGGACGGGCUGGCCCAAGUCUGCAUUGUCACCUGCUCUGGGGAAAACAAAGCCCUCUCCCCCGCCCUCCCCGCAGCGUGCUGGGCACAGGGCCAGCCCGUUCUAUGUUUUCAGUAAAUUUUCAAACAUGCUGGUUUUGGUGGCAGCUUUUGCAGUGAUUAUCUCAUUAGGCGCUUGGCCCUGAAACACCUUAUUUAUUGUGGAUUGAAAAAAGUUCACCUUUUCAAGCAAAAAAAAAAAAAAAAAAAAAAAACAGAAGAAAGAAAUAAAAGAACCAGACUGUAGUUUCCCUGGAAAAUUUUCGCUUGUGGGAAAACACCUCCCUGGCCCGUAGA